UUUAGUCCUUUCAGAGGAACCUGCCCCAUAAUCGAUACCCCACGUUAGACCUUACUUAAUCUUGUUAAUCAGUUUGUAUAUCGCCGUCGUCAGAAUGUCCUAAAAGGGUUCGAAUUUUCUUUAUUUCUAAUAAUUAAAAGGAUGUCAGGUCAAGGUGCAGUUUAUGGUUAAGUGGAGGUGGGUUACAAUAAAUGUAUUUAUACGGAUAAUUAUUUGAAAAUUAAUAAUUUGAAGGUGGAUUUGAAUGUAAUUUUGUAUAGGAUAAUAUAUUGAUUUAUGGCUCUAAAACAUGCACACAUCGCCCGUCGCUCUCGUUACUUAAGAUGAGAUAAGUCGUAACAUAGUAG
This 347-nucleotide ribosomal RNA is filed under the name Isoperla rivulorum. RNAcentral's name for it is "partial small subunit ribosomal RNA". It matches the Rfam family "Microsporidia small subunit ribosomal RNA", at positions 797 to 1282 of the family's 1311-position model. Lineage: Eukaryota; Metazoa; Arthropoda; Insecta; Plecoptera; Perlodidae. The record is from RNAcentral.